CUCUAUAGAUGUCUUUAUGUUCUAUGAGUAGCAUUAAAUUCAUUGAUUGUAGCUAUUUAUAAUGAGUCAAUAGCAAUAUCAGAAGAAAUAUGAACAUUAAUAGUAAUACAUGGAUAUUUAGUUGUGAUUGCCACUUAAUAUCAAUAGAAAUUUCACCACCUGUAGGACUAGCAGUCCCAAGUAGGGGAUAAGUAUUUGCGAAUGGAAUGUCAAUUCAUAAAAUGCAACAUUAAGAGAAAUGUACACCU
Molecule: long non-coding RNA, 248 nt
Filed under: Elaeis guineensis (African oil palm)
Lineage: Eukaryota; Viridiplantae; Streptophyta; Magnoliopsida; Arecales; Arecaceae
Description: long non-coding RNA (EGUI_LNC036708)
Source: RNAcentral